RNAcentral lists this transfer RNA (84 nucleotides) under Candidatus Aenigmatarchaeota archaeon. Its description in RNAcentral is "tRNA-Ser". It matches the Rfam family "tRNA". Rfam says of the family: Transfer RNA (tRNA) molecules are approximately 80 nucleotides in length. Their secondary structure includes four short double-helical elements and three loops (D, anti-codon, and T loops). Further hydrogen bonds mediate the characteristic L-shaped molecular structure. tRNAs have two regions of fundamental functional importance: the anti-codon, which is responsible for specific mRNA codon recognition, and the 3' end, to which the tRNAs corresponding amino acid is attached (by aminoacyl-tRNA synthetases). tRNAs cope with the degeneracy of the genetic code in two manners: having more than one tRNA (with a specific anti-codon) for a particular amino acid; and 'wobble' base-pairing, i.e. permitting non-standard base-pairing at the 3rd anti-codon position. Lineage: Archaea; Nanobdellati; Candidatus Aenigmatarchaeota. The record is from RNAcentral.
GCCGGGGUAGCCAAGCGGUCCAAGGCGCCAGCCUGGAGAGCUGGUGGGCGUUUGCCCUCGUGGGUUCGAAUCCCACCCCCGGCG